GCUGUCACCGUCAAAAUGCAAGAAAUGGGAGGUGCAGACCCUGCUCAGGGAGCUGACCAGCCAGCUGGAGGGAACUGGUGACGAACACCCCAAGUAGGGGACAAAGGUCUGUUUGCAACAUCAUGCCAACUCUGAUGUUCCGUCCUGCUGUCAAAUCGUGCGCCCCACCACGUGCUCUGGCUUGGGGCUCACAAACUCCAGUCCCUGGACUUGCAGCCCGGAGUUAAGUCACCAUCACCGAGUUCACAGCAUGAGGGCAGGAAGCCUGAGCUGGUGCCCAAGUCAUUCAGCC
This is a long non-coding RNA of Sciurus carolinensis (gray squirrel), 292 nucleotides long. RefSeq lists it as uncharacterized. The record is from RefSeq and is a predicted model, not a curated record. The transcript has 3 exons. Lineage: Eukaryota; Metazoa; Chordata; Mammalia; Rodentia; Sciuridae.